CUUGCAUCUCAGAGCAAAACUCAUUUUCAAGAAUUCUAAUUUCUUACCUGAACUUUGGAGUCAUACAUUAUGUGUGUUUCCAACUUUGGUAAUUCUGUGUGAACAUAUGCCUAUGAUUUGGUUAUGUUGUCUUCAUUAGGCAGAACAUCAGAUAAUUGAAACAAGUUCUUAGGUGACUCUAGUGGAAUUUCAAACCAUAUCAUAGUUAACAUAUACAACAGACUUUCUAUGUUUCUUGAUUGCAUUCUUUUAUGUCAUAAAGAAUGUGGCUUAGUCAAAAUUAUCAAAACAUGAAAAAUGAGAAAGCAACUUUGUUCAGUUUUGAUUGUGAAAUUGAAAAGUUAAAAAAAUUCUAACUCAAUAAUAAGUAAAUUGCCAGUUGCGACUAUGAAUUUUGUAGAAAGUUUAAAGCUCAUAUAUUUAUAUUUUCAGAAGUGAAAAUGGGUUGAUGUUUCCAUCUUAGGUUGGUGAUCAUUGCCAUUUCCAUUACAAUAAUGAAAGAGACAAGUUCUGACUGAAGUAAAGGUAAGUUUAAUGUAGAUCAUUUGUCUUUUUUCAUAGCAUGAUGCAAAAAUUCUUUUUUUUUUACAAAUUAUUUUUCCAAUUAUUUAUCGUUCGUAUACAACAGAAACAUCUUAAACUUUAAAUAUAAGAUUAAACGAUUAAAAAAUUGUCAUUCAGUGGAUUUUAAGUUUUCAGAAGAUUUCCUUUAAAAAUUAAAGGUUCAUUGACCCAGAAAUCUAUCUUUUACUGAAAUUUUAAGAAAAAGUGUUAGUUAGACACCCCAGCUAUCUUAAGAGAAUUUUCCUAAAGAAUAUGAAACAAUUUAAAUUGUUUUGUUUCUACCAGAUUGUGAUCCAUCAUGAAGACCGAUUUUUCUGAGGGGCACACAAAUUGCAGUAUGUCAGUCAUACCCGUAGCCAGGGGGGGUUCGAGGGGUUCGGACGAAC
RNAcentral lists this long non-coding RNA (950 nucleotides) under Mytilus galloprovincialis (Mediterranean mussel). The record is from RNAcentral. Lineage: Eukaryota; Metazoa; Mollusca; Bivalvia; Mytilida; Mytilidae.